CUGGUUGAUCCUGCCAGUAGUCAUAUGCUUGUCUCAAAGACUAAGCCAUGCAUGUCUAAGUAUAAAUGUUAUACAGUGAAACUGCGAAUGGCUCAUUAAAACAGUUAUAGUUUAUUUGAUAAUCGAAUUUACAUGGAUAACCGUGGUAAUUCUAGAGCUAAUACAUGCUGUUAAGCCUGACUUUUGAGGAAGGGCUGUAUUUAUUAGAUAACAAACCAAUAUUCUUCGUGUCUAUUGUGACGACUCAUAAUAACUGAUCGAAUCGCAUGGUCUUUGACCGCGAUACAUCAUUCAAGUUUCUGCCCCAUCAGCUUUCGAUGGUAGUGUAUUGGACUACCAUGGCUUUAACGGGUAACGGAGGAUUAGGGUUCGAUUCCGGAGAGGGAGCCUGAGAAACGGCUACCACAUCUAAGGAAGGCAGCAGGCGCGUAAAUUACCCAAUCCUGAUUCAGGGAGGUAGUGACAAGAAAUAACGGACCGAAGCCUAUGUUUCGGGAUUGCAAUGAGUAGAAUUUAAACCCCUUUACAAGGAUCAAUUGGAGGGCAAGUCUGGU
RNAcentral lists this ribosomal RNA (554 nucleotides) under uncultured eukaryote. RNAcentral describes it as "SSU rRNA". It matches the Rfam family "Eukaryotic small subunit ribosomal RNA", at positions 4 to 565 of the family's 1831-position model. The record is from RNAcentral.